RNAcentral lists this transfer RNA (72 nucleotides) under Tetradesmus obliquus. RNAcentral's name for it is "Scenedesmus obliquus tRNA". It matches the Rfam family "tRNA". From Rfam's summary of the family: Transfer RNA (tRNA) molecules are approximately 80 nucleotides in length. Their secondary structure includes four short double-helical elements and three loops (D, anti-codon, and T loops). Lineage: Eukaryota; Viridiplantae; Chlorophyta; Chlorophyceae; Sphaeropleales; Scenedesmaceae. The record is from Rfam by way of RNAcentral. RNAcentral also lists the same sequence under 5 other names.
GCCUCGAUAGCUCACCUGGUAGAGCACAAAACUGAAGUUUUUGGGGAAUUGGUUCAAGUCCAGUUCGAGGCA